GCCAGGCAUGGUGGCGCACACCUGUAAUCCCAGCUACUCGGAGGCUGAGGCAGGAGAAUCGCUUGAGCCCAGGAGGCAGAGCUUGCAGUGAGCCAAGAUGGCGCCACUGCACUCCAGCCUGGGCAACAGAGUCAGACUCCGCCUCAA
Unclassified non-coding RNA from Pongo abelii (Sumatran orangutan), 147 nucleotides. It matches the Rfam family "Metazoan signal recognition particle RNA". Rfam says of the family: The signal recognition particle (SRP) is a universally conserved ribonucleoprotein. It is involved in the co-translational targeting of proteins to membranes. NCBI's taxonomy places the organism in Eukaryota, Metazoa, Chordata, Mammalia, Primates, Hominidae. The record is from Ensembl.